UACAGAGGUCUCAAGCGUUGUUCGGAUUCAUUGGGCGUAAAGGGCUCGUAGGCGGUUUGUCGCGUCGGGAGUGAAAACUCAGGGCUUAACCCUGAGCUUGCAGUGGGUACGGGCAGACUAGAGUGCGGUAGGGGAGACUGGAAUUCCUGGUGUAGCGGUGAAAUGCGCAGAUAUCAGGAGGAACACCGGUGGCGAAGGCGGGUCUCUGGGCCGUAACUGACGCUGAGGAGCGAAAGCAUGGGGAGCGAACAGG
This 253-nucleotide ribosomal RNA is filed under the name uncultured bacterium. RNAcentral describes it as "partial 16S ribosomal RNA". It matches the Rfam family "Bacterial small subunit ribosomal RNA", at positions 524 to 776 of the family's 1533-position model. The record is from RNAcentral.